UGUCACGCAAUGAACAGGAUUACUUGAAAGA
This 31-nucleotide non-coding RNA is filed under the name Rattus norvegicus (Norway rat). The record is from RNAcentral. Lineage: Eukaryota; Metazoa; Chordata; Mammalia; Rodentia; Muridae.